CUUUCAUGACGUGUGAAACAUUUUGUAAAAUCUAGGCUCUUUGUUUUUCAGAGUGAUUCGCAAUCUAGAUACAUCUGAUUGCUCCCCUGCCUGGACUAGAUGAGAUUAAGCAUUUUUGCAAGAAUACAGAUUAAACAGUUUCCUAAUGAGUGGAUUCAGAUUAAACAUGGGCAGCGUGGUGUACUUCUUAGUGCCUCACACCAGGAGACGUUUGAGUCUGUCUGUCCCAUAAUUUGUGAUGCUGUAUUUGGUAAUUUUGGCCAAGGUGGAGUCAGCUAGGCAUCUCUUUGUGAAGGUAGCCUUUCCCCUUUGUUAUUAGUCAGUCAUCUGUGGGAUGAGACAUGAAAGCCCUGUGAACAUCCUGUUCCCUGACAACCCUUCAGAGCUGGUUUCAGUGCCACUGCUGAAGCCUCUGGGAAACGUUGAUUACACUCACGGUGACGGUGGCAAUUUCUUGAAUUCCUUCUACAUUGACUGCCUGCGUUAUUCAGUGAAGCAGACAUGGCCUAUUCCCUACAUUUGCCCCUUGAAAAUGUUCAAUUUUAAUUUAAAAGAUUAAUACAGCCAGGAUAUUCUUUCAACAGGCAAAUAAAAACCGCAGUUUAAACUCUAAGUUUCAAUCAGAAACUAACAGCUCUUGGAUUUCCCAGGGCUCACACUCCUCUGAAACAACUCACGAAGAGCCUGAGGAAGCAGUUCUCACUGGUAAUUCUGUAGUUACUGGAGGUAGUAGAAGGCACACAGAUCAUGCCAUUUCCCUCUAGUGCUUGGAUAAUUGAGAAAGAAAUGGCAGAAAAAUGUGAAUGGUAUUUCCAGACCUUAGCAGGGUAA
RNAcentral lists this long non-coding RNA (831 nucleotides) under Homo sapiens (human). Its description in RNAcentral is "novel transcript". Lineage: Eukaryota; Metazoa; Chordata; Mammalia; Primates; Hominidae. The record is from RNAcentral.